RNAcentral lists this transfer RNA (77 nucleotides) under Candidatus Omnitrophota bacterium. RNAcentral describes it as "tRNA-Ile". It matches the Rfam family "tRNA". Rfam says of the family: Transfer RNA (tRNA) molecules are approximately 80 nucleotides in length. Their secondary structure includes four short double-helical elements and three loops (D, anti-codon, and T loops). The record is from RNAcentral. Lineage: Bacteria; Pseudomonadati; Candidatus Omnitrophota.
GGGCCUAUAGCUCAGCUGGCUAGAGCGCCGUGCUGAUAACGCGGAGGUCUCUGGUUCGACUCCAGAUGGGCCCACCA